This 253-nucleotide ribosomal RNA is filed under the name uncultured bacterium. RNAcentral describes it as "partial 16S ribosomal RNA". It matches the Rfam family "Bacterial small subunit ribosomal RNA", at positions 524 to 776 of the family's 1533-position model. The record is from RNAcentral.
UACGAAGGGGGCUAGCGUUGCUCGGAAUCACUGGGCGUAAAGCGCACGUAGGCGGCUUUGUAAGUUAGAGGUGAAAGCCCAGAGCUCAACUCUGGAACUGCCUUUAAGACUGCGUCGCUUGAAUCAUGGAGAGGUUAGUGGAAUUCCGAGUGUAGAGGUGAAAUUCGUAGAUAUUCGGAAGAACACCAGUGGCGAAGGCGACUAACUGGACAUGUAUUGACGCUGAGGUGCGAAAGCGUGGGGAGCAAACAGG